UGUACGUGUGUAAUAACAGCUAGUGUAGUGUCGACCGUGGACGUAUAUGUGCAAUUUGGUUAGAAGAUUUGGACGUUAAAUUGCUUGCAGUGCAGUGCAGUUGCUUAGUUAAAGUGAGUUCUCAUCACGAGGUCGAGGUAUGGAGUCUGAACAGGAAAGAAAGCUUUUUCUAGGUGGGCUGAAUUACAACACAAAAGAUGAAGACAUCAAGAAAUAUUUUGGCACAUUUGGAAAAAUCGUGGACUGUUGUGUUAUCAAAGAUUCAAAUUCACAGAGGUCCAAAGGAUUUGGAUUUGUCACAUUCUCCAGCCGAAAGGAAGUCGAUGAUGUUAUGAAAGCUAGAAAAGAAAAUCCUCAUCGACUUGAUAACAGAGAUAUUGAUGUGAGAAGAGCCAUGUCAAGAGAUGAGAAGGGACCAAAGAAUCCCUCAUUCAAGUGUUUCUUGGGUGGCAUCCCAAGGGAUACCACAGAGGAGGACUUGAGAAAGUACUUUGGUCAAUUCGGUAACAUCGUUGAAUUUGCAUCACAUCUCAACAAAGGAUUUUGUUUUAUCACCUAUGAUGACACAGACUGUGUUGAUCAGAUUGUCAUGCAGAAGCACCAUAAGAUUAAUGGCAAGAAGGUUGAAGGAAAGAAGGCAUACUCUAAGGAAGAGAUGAAUGAAAUGAAGAUGAAAGAACAGCAGCAACAAGGUGGCUUUGGUGGACCUGGUGGCUACAGAGGCUUUGGAGGAGGGGGAGGAGGAGGGGGAUAUGGUGGAGGAGAUUACCAAGGUGGAUAUAGCGGUGGCCAGGGAGGAGGAGGUGGCUAUAACCAAGGAUAUGGUGGAGGACCAGGAGGUGGUUUCGGAGGAGGCGGUGGCUAUGGUGGCGGUGGCGGCUACAGUGGCGGUAGUGGUUAUGGUGGCGGCGGUGCUCCAUACAGUGGUGGAGGACAGGGUGGACCACAGGGCUAUGGAGGUGGAGGCGGAGGUUACCAAGGUGGUGGUUACGGUGGUGGACAAGGAGGUGGUGGCGGUUACAGUGGAGGUGGUGGAGGCUACCAGGGCGGUGGUGGUGGUGGCUUUGGAAAGAGAUUCUAAGUGUUGAUAACUGACCAACAAUGAUAGACCAACCAGUUGAGGUACAGCAGAUGGUUGCACUUGUUAAAGUUCUCCAAUGGCAGAUCCUUUCAGAUGCUUUUCCUGAAUGUCGAAGAUAGCUUCAUUGGUGUUGAAAGAUUGACCUAACUGGGCUAGAGGAUAACCCUGAUGUUUAACAUCAUGUCCAUGAGGUUCAUUUCAAGUGACAACCUGAAGGCAGGAUAAAGACAUUUACUAUUCCUGUGUUUAUCAAUGAUAAGGGAGAUAAACUGUUUUGUUCAGUUGUAUCUGAAACUAAUCAAGGUUCUAGAAUGGAGAGUGUGUUAAGCAAAUGUGAACAUAAAUGUCACGUUUCAGUUACACAAAAUAUCUCUAAUGCACCAGCUUAUAGCUCAUUACCACUCACCUAUUCCUUUCAGCUAAAAUCCACCCUGUAGUACAUGCCUCUGAUAUUCAGUUACAUCUAUACCUAGUUUAGAGUAACUGCUACUAGAUUCAUUAAGAAUAUCAUUCUUAACUGUAAAAGAGCCAGGUUAUUGGGGCCGCUCCCCCCCCCCCCCCCCCCCUGAGAACUCGGCCCUCAAUUGCGCGAGCACCUCAAAAACUUGCACAGGGGUAGUGUGCAAUAUAAUCUACAAGGGUGUAUGGUUAAUUAUAUUGAAAUAAGAUUUUUAAUUUAAUGACUUGAUUAUGCUAAUUUAUUCAGAUUUUCAGAUAGCAGAUAGAUUUUCUCAAAUCAACUAUCAUAUUGCCUCAAAACUGCUAUUUUUUUUUAUUCAGACUCUCUGUAGGAUCAUGAUCAAAUGUACUUGAAGGUCAAGUCCACCUCAGGAAAAUGUUGAUUUAGGAAAAUGUCCUUUAGGGUCAACAAACUUUGGUAAUGUUGGGGGUAUUUGUGGAACUGUCCUAACUUUAUGACAGUCAUAAGUUUAUGGAUCUAGUUCAUGAAACUUGGAUAUAAGAGCAGCAAUGUUAAAUAUAAUACCCUGUGCACGUUUCAGGGACUUGGCCAAGAUCGAAGAUCAUUCAAAGGUUGUUGAGAGUAUGUGUUGAAUUGGCAUCAUAACUUAGAAAGUUUAUGGAUCUAGCUCAUGAAACAUAGACGUAAGGGUAAUCAAGUAUGAAUGAUGCGCAUGUAUUAGGUCACAUGAUCAUGGUCAUUUUGGGUCAAUGGACAUCAUAUUUUAUCAUAUUAGUGUUUUUCUUCUGUGAAUAAUUACUCAUUAGCUGUUUUCAAAUUCUUAUCUCUUUUGAAUCAUGACAGAAUUCCAUGCUUAUUGUGCAGGUUACUGAGUAAUUUCUAAUUUUCUACACGGGUGGUGUUUCAUAAAGCUGUUCGUAAAGUUCCGCAAAACUUUACGAACGACUGGAACAUGUUCUUAUCCGUAAGUCAGCUACAUAGGGAUAUAUCACAUAGCACAAGAAAGGGUCACCAGUCAUGCGAAAAGUCAUUCGUAACUUACAAACAGCUUUAUGAAACGGGCCCAUGCAUCAACUUUGCACAUGAUAUUCAUUUAUACAAAUACUUUGUGCUAAUCUAUCAUAAUGACAAACCUGCUGAUACUCAUUACACUAAGAGAAGCUUUGAUGACUCAUCAUUACAGAACUUCUUUAUCAAGUUGUCUAACUCUCAAUUUGAUGUUAGUUCAAGUAACAAUGUUGAAACGAAGUACAAUCAUUUUUUAGGCAUAUUUUUACGUCAUUACAAUGACUGCUUCCCCAUGAGAAGCUAUUCCAUAAAGAAAAGGAAUAAAAAACCAUGGAUGACUAGGGAACUUAGAAAAUUAUGUAUUAAAAAGAAUAAUCUAUACAAGAAAUAUAUCAGAAAUCCAACAAAUUUAAAUGAAAUCAAAUAUAAAAAUAUAGAAAUUUUGUGACUUAUCAGCUGCGUAAAGUCAAAUCUAAUUAUUACACACAAGAAUUCAAACAGGUCAAAGAUAACAUCCAUUCUACAUGGAAAUUUAUAAAUAAUAUAAUGGGUAAGAAACUUAAUUCUAAACCUAUUGACUCAAUUAUUACUCCUGAUGGUCAAACAUAGUCUGACAAUUCACUUAUUGCGAAUGCAUUUAAUAAUCAUUUCGUAACUAUUGGUGAAAAAUUGAUAAAUCAACAUACUGCUAUUAACUCGUCAUCUGUACCUUCAUUUCAGGAUUACAUUCCACAACGUAACCUGAAAUCUAUGUUUUUUAAACCAAUAACAUGCAAAGAAAUUUAUGAAAUUGUGAAAGAUAUGCCAAACGACUCUAGUCCUGGUAUGGAUUCAAUAGUUGUUGAAAAAAACAAUCUCAUUGAUAUGCAUUCCAUUAUGCAAUAUUUUUAAUUUAAGCAUAUCAACAGGUACUGUUCCCAAAUAUUUGAAGAUUGAUAAGGUCACUCCUAAACACAAAAGUGGAAGUCGAGAAAAUAUGAACAAUUAUCGUCCAAUAUCUGUACUAAAUAUAUUUGCUAAAAUACUUGAGAGAUGUGUGUAUAACAGGAUUAUUAGUUUUAUUGAUGAAAAUGAUAUAAUAUUUAACAACCAGUAUGGAUUCAGGAAGGGGCACUCCACAUCUUCAGCUGUCUUGGAGCUUACACAUAAGAUACACAACUCUAUUAAUAACAAAGAACAUACUCUAGCAAUAUUUAAUGAUCUCUCUAAAGCCUUUGAUGUUAUUGACCACUCUAUUCUGUUAAAAAAAACUAGAUUACCAUGGAAUAAGGGGCUUGCCACUCAAAUGGAUCCCAGAUUAUUUAACCGAUCGAGAACAAAUUACUAUAUUUAACAAAUGUGAGUCAAGCUCCAGGACAGUGAGAUAUGGAGUGCCCCAGGUUCAGUCCUUGGCCCACUCCUUUUUCUGUUAUUUAUAAAUGAUUUACCCCAAUGUUCAAAUAUGCUAAAUUUUGUGUUAUUUGCUGAUGACACGUGUGUCUCUAUGUCUGGUAGUAAUAUUGAUAUUCUGUUCAGAGAUGUGAAUUUACAGCUUAAAAAGAUCAAUGAGUGGGUGUCAGUCAAUAAUCUAAUUGUGAAUACUUCAAAAACCAAUUAUAUGUUGUUAAGCACAUGCAGCCAUAAGAUAGACAACUUAAAAUUAUACUAUAAUAGCUUUGAAAUUACUCAACUUCACAAUGUAAAAUUUUUAGGUAUUUAUUUGGAUGACAAUUUAUCUUGGAACUUUCAUAUUGAACAGGUCUGUAAUAAGAUUGCUAAAAAGAUUGGGAUAAUAGCUAAACUUAAUUUUUUGCCAAGUUCAGUUCUAAAAAUGUUAUAUCAUGCUUUUAUCACAUCUACCAUUAACUAUGGAGUGAUUGCAUGGGGAAUUACAACUAAAAGAAAUAUACAGAAAAUUUUUACUUUACAAAAAUGAGCAAUCCGUCUAAUAACUCAUUCCAAUUACAUCUCUGAAAGUGCACCUCUUUUCCAACGAAACAAUAUCUUACCGAUUCAGAAUAUCAUAUCAUUACAGACCUGUUUAUUCAUGUACCAAUGCCAUAACCAUAUGUUACCUAAGUCUCCUCAAGAUUAUUUUAAAAUGAAUAAUUUAUAUCACUUAUAUCAAACUAGAAAUUGUAAAAGUUAUCACCCUCCUUUGCCAUGCAUAGCUUUAACUAGACGAUCUGUUUUUUAUUUUGGACCACUCUUUUGGAACUCAUUACCGAAUUCUGUUAAAUUAUCAAAAUCUUUAAAUCAAUUUAAACGUGCAUGUCUUCAAAACAAAACACUUUUAAACACGGCUUUCCAUUUAUUGUAAUGAUUUGUUUUCACCCCCCCCCUUUUCUUAGACUUGUAAUUAUGUUAUGAUUAUAUUGUUUGUUUACUUUACAUGUAUUAAUAUGAUUUAUUCUAUACUUUAGGGGCCAAUUUAUACAAGCAGUUAUGCUUUCUUUGACCCAUCCACGUGUAAUAUAUCUUUUAAUGUCAAUGAUUUGUAUAUACAUAUAUUUUUAAUUGUGGAAAUAAAUUUGAAUUGAA
RNAcentral lists this unclassified non-coding RNA (5030 nucleotides) under Lytechinus variegatus (green sea urchin). RNAcentral's name for it is "heterogeneous nuclear ribonucleoprotein A3-like, transcript variant X3". Lineage: Eukaryota; Metazoa; Echinodermata; Echinoidea; Temnopleuroida; Toxopneustidae. The record is from RNAcentral.